Long non-coding RNA from Ictalurus punctatus (channel catfish), 1852 nucleotides. NCBI's taxonomy places the organism in Eukaryota, Metazoa, Chordata, Actinopteri, Siluriformes, Ictaluridae. The record is from Ensembl.
AGCACACACACAAUCAGGAAGCAAAAGGAGCAGAAAACACACAACAGCAGAGUUUAUCUGUGAGCUUAUCGAGUGGCUGCUAUUCAUAGGAGUGUUAUCUUUAGAUGGCUUUGAAUUAGAACAAGGCCACUCGGAGCGCUAGUUCCUAUUUGCUUGCAUGGACACGGACGGGACUUUGCCGCUGAUGGGUCGAGAGAGCAGCACAUUGGUUGCAGGGGAACCUGGAGCCUAUCCCAGGGAGCAUCAGGCACGAGGCGGAGUACACCCUGGACAGUGUGCCAAUCCAUCGCAGGGCACAAUCACAUACACACUCACACACCCAUUCAUACACUACGGACACUUUAGAGACGCCAAUCAGCCUACCAUGCAUGUCUUUGGACUGCGGGAGGAAACCAGAGUACCCGGAGGAAACCCCCGCAGCACGGGGAGAACAUGCAAACUCCCACACAAAGGGCCACGGUGAAAAUCAAACCCCCGACCCUGGAGGUGUGAGGCGAACGUGCUGACCACUAAGCCAUCGUGCACCCACUCAUUCUCAUCAUACAUAUGUUAAAUUACCUCAGUUACAUCUUUUUAGCUGGUUAGUUCAUUGGGUUUCCAGCCAAGCAUGUCAUGGGACUGUACAAGCAUAUGACAGUAGCUGAAGUGAAUUUACUUCAUCCAGAAGUAAAUGUCCUGCCUGAACUGUCCAGUUGUACCAAUCUCAGUAUAUAAAUACACAUUUCAUAUUGAGAAAUACAGGAAGCAAUUAUCAUAGCAAACAUGAAACCACUCAUGACUGCUCACUUUAACGUGUAUACAUCAGACUAUGUGUUUUGCAUCCCAUUGGUCCAUAACAUACUGACACAUCAGACUGCACAAACUAAAAAUGAUAAACAUUUAUGUCUCACUCAUUAUGUGUUAACUCAUAUUAAUGCAUGUCUGUAGUGAGUAAUGCAUGACGUGCGUAGCGGAUGGUGAGGCAUCAUGAGAAAGUGUACUGUCACUGUACAACAGCGCCAGAUGUAUGAUGGGAAGAUAGGGUCUCAGGAAAAAUGCACUGAGAACGGGAUGUUCAAUUCUGUGUUUAGUAUACAAUGUAAUAAUAAUGAUAAUAAAUAAUCAUAACAGUUUACUUAAGGGUAGUACUUAUAGAGAUACAUGAGUCGUAACUGACAUUUAUAAAAAUUAAUGUCAACAGAACAUUUUUUUUAUUGCCGUCAAUGUCAAGAGAAAUAAUGUUGUGUUACAAAGUUUUAUGUUUACUUUAAGGUGUCAUGACAACUGACUUUGGGGCUCUUGUAUGUUGGUGAAGUAAUGUAGUGAAGUAACACGCUGCUACUCCAUUAACUGAAACGCUGGAAAUCACACAAAUUGAACCAACAUGAGUCACUGAACUCACUGACUCAAGUGGUCUGCUGAAUGGGAGAGGAGUAAAUUUUGAUCCUGAUGAAAGGAUUUUACUGAUUUAAGAGGUUCUGUAUACACACAAUAAUAUAGCCAAUAUUUAAAGAACAGCUACACAUAAAACAUACAAUAUAAAACAGCAAUUACCUAAAUAAUUCACUGACUCGUUGAGCAACAAUAGAGCAAAUCUUGUUCUUGAACAAAAGGAUUCAGUGACUCAAACACUGACCUGCUGAAUGCUAGAAGAUCAAAUCCCUAUCAAGACUAAAAGGAUUCACUGACUCAAAGACCCGCUGAAUGCGUCAACAGCAAAUCACGGUCAUGACCAAAGAGGUCAUACAAUGACCUAUAAUAAUAGAAGUGGAAAUAUCAUUCUUGAUCAGAAUGACACACUGACACAUGGACAUGAGAACAGAGAACUGUGGUCAUGACUAUAAUGAUUCACUGAAUCCUCUGAAUAUGAGCC